AUACGUAGGUGGCAAGCGUUGUCCGGAUUUAUUGGGCGUAAAGCGAGCGCAGGCGGUUUCUUAAGUCUGAUGUGAAAGCCCCCGGCUCAACCGGGGAGGGUCAUUGGAAACUGGGAGACUUGAGUGCAGAAGAGGAGAGUGGAAUUCCAUGUGUAGCGGUGAAAUGCGUAGAUAUAUGGAGGAACACCAGUGGCGAAGGCGACUCUCUGGUCUGUAACUGACGCUGAGGCUCGAAAGCGUGGGGAGCAAACAGGAUUAGAUACCCUGGUAGUCCACGCCGUAAACGACGAGUGCUAAGUGUUGGAGGGUUUCCGCCCUUCAGUGCUGCAGCUAACGCAUUAAGCACUCCGCCUGGGGAGUACGGCCGCAAGGCUGAAACUCAAAUGAAUUGACGGGG
This 397-nucleotide ribosomal RNA is filed under the name uncultured bacterium. RNAcentral's name for it is "partial 16S ribosomal RNA". It matches the Rfam family "Bacterial small subunit ribosomal RNA", at positions 523 to 918 of the family's 1533-position model. The record is from RNAcentral.